RNAcentral lists this long non-coding RNA (702 nucleotides) under Cricetulus griseus (Chinese hamster). Its description in RNAcentral is "lncRNA (ENSCGRG00000025132.1)". Lineage: Eukaryota; Metazoa; Chordata; Mammalia; Rodentia; Cricetidae. The record is from RNAcentral.
GCCUGACCACCAGGCUGUUCUGUUUCAGCAGUCUGAUUCCUGUAUGAUGAUCACAAACAUCCCAUUGCAGUUCACUGUUGGGGGCUUCAAGAUGAUUUUCCAACAAGCUUUCCAGUGUAAUAUCCAUGUGUAAACGAGAACCAGUUAUUUUAUGCUGUCUGCCUGCCAGUGGGGAUACUGCCAGUCUGGUCAGGCUGAAGGAGAGAGCAGAGCAGUGGUUGUACCUGAUCAAGCGCACUAGGACAGGUCACCUGGUACCCACAGCACCUCACUGGACUCUUUGGGUGGAAAUUAACAAAGAGAAUGAUCAACUGAACCUUACUGAAGGAAUCAAGACGGACAGAAGGAAGCCUUCUGGGGUAACCAUGUGUCCCAAUUCUCUCAACAAGGAAAAAAUGUUCUGGGAAACAGAUCCUUGGACUCUCUAGGACUACUAGAAGACCACCUAGGGCAGCCAGCAUCCAUACAACCAGCUUUCCAAAGCAUGCAACAACCUCCUCAGCUGCCCUGGAGCACCACAGGAGGCAAUCUGUGUGGCAGGUAAUAUCAGGAGGCCAGAAAGGCCUGUACAGGACUUAACGUUGUUUUCUUUUUCACCCAUCGCCAAUCUCAGACUUACACCUUCCUUCUAUUAGAGUUCCAUAGAUGUUGUCCAAUUGGGAACUGUAUGUACUGGUUAGUUGGGAGAGGCAAGGGAGAGCA